This is a long non-coding RNA of Ficedula albicollis (Collared flycatcher), 5921 nucleotides long. Lineage: Eukaryota; Metazoa; Chordata; Aves; Passeriformes; Muscicapidae. The record is from Ensembl.
AUGGAGGGGACAUUACUGUGCAGAAAUCUCUUCUCCAGGACAUUACUGUGCAGAAAUCUCCAGGACAUUACUGUGCAGAAAUCUCUUCUCCAGGUCAUUACUGUGCAGAAAUCUCCAGGUCAUUACUGUACAGAAAUCUCUUCUCCAGGUCAUUACCAUACAGAAAUCUCUUCUCCAGGACAUUACUGUGCAGAAAUCUCCAGGACAUUACUGUGCAGAAAUCUCUUCUCCAGGUCAUUAUCAUACAGAAAUCUCUUCUCCAGGACAUUACUGUGCAGAAAUCUCCAGGACAUUACUGUGCAGAAAUCUCUUCUCCAGGUCAUUAUCAUACAGAAAUCUCUUCUCCAGGACAUUACUGUGCAGAAAUCUCCAGGACAUUACUGUGCAGAAAUCUCUUCUCCAGGUCAUUAUCAUACAGAAAUCUCUUCUCCAGGACAUUACUGUGCAGAAAUCUCCAGGACAUUACUGUGCAGAAAUCUCUUCUCCAGGUCAUUAUCAUACAGAAAUCUCUUCUCCAGGACAUUACUGUGCAGAAAUCUCCAGGACAUUACUGUGCAGAAAUCUCUUCUCCAGGUCAUUAUCAUACAGAAAUCUCUUCUCCAGGACAUUACUGUGCAGAAAUCUCCAGGACAUUACUGUGCAGAAAUCUCUUCUCCAGGUCAUUAUCAUACAGAAAUCUCUUCUCCAGGACAUUACUGUGCAGAAAUCUCUUCUCCAGGACAUUACUGUGCAGAAAUCUCUUCUCCAGGACAUUACUGUGCAGAAAUCUCUUCUCCAGGACAUUACUGUGCAGAAAUCUCUUCUCCAGGACAUUACUGUGCAGAAAUCUCUUCUCCAGGACAUUACUGUGCAGAAAUCUCUUCUCCAGGACAUUACUGUGCAGAAAUCUCUUCUCCAGGACAUUACUGUGCAGAAAUCUCUUCUCCAGGACAUUACCAUACAGAAAUCUCUUCUCCAGGUCAUUACUGUGCAGAAAUCUCUUCUCCAGGAGCAGGUGAGCACUGCUGCUGCUGCUCCCCAUGCCCAGGACAUGCCCUGUGCUGCAGGACUGAGCUGUGCCAGGCAGGAAAACUUAGGAGGAUUUUCUCAGGGAUAAGAAAUUAUGUCUCAUGUUGUAACUUUUUGACAACUGUCUCAGUUGCAAGAUUAAUGAUAUCAGUAAUAAAAGAGGUUUUCCUCCACCUAAUCUUUUCAUUUCCCAUUUUAAUUCAAACCUGACCAACAAACUGCCUCCUUAUUCCAGCAGAGAUGAUUUAAAUCACUGGCUUUGCUAAUUACCAUGAUCUCCUUUAAAAGCAUUUCAGGAAUUCCUGACGAAAUUCCAAUUCCUGUUCUGAAAACCUGCUCUGAAAGCAAAUAAAACUUUGAACUGAGACGCCACUGACCUACUUUAGCUUUGAAUUCCAAUCACUCUGGGAGCUGGCUCCAAAGUGCAGCAACCCUGUGACCCCAGGCUUGCUCUGCAGCCCCUGCCCAGCUCCAGCUGUGGGCACAGCUGGGCCUGUGCUGCCAUGGAGGGACAGCUGUGCCCAGCACAGAGCUCAGGACCUGCUCCACCCCCAGCCCAGCGCUGCAGCAGAGCACUCAUCCCAAAUCCCUUCAACACCGCUUGUAAGCAAAGCAAAGGCUCAGGAUUUGCCCUGAAAUCUGGUUUUCCUUUUCCCCCAGUUCCUUUCCCCACCCCAUGAAGUUCCCCGUGCCCUGACCCACAAGGGGACAGCACAGAAUCCCCCAGUACCCCCAGUAUGCCCCUGGAGCAGGAGGGGCUGGGGACAGGGACACAGGGCAGAGCUGGCAGGGCACAGGCUGGCACUGUGCCUGCUUCCCACCAGCACCGUGAUAAAAUUAUCCUUGCAGGGGAACAAUGUUAUUUUUGUCACGUCCCCAUUUUCUAAACAGGAAAAUAUUCCAUUAGGAAAGCGUCCAGCUCCCCUCUGAAAGGUUUUGGCUUUUCCAGGUGGUGGAAAGGAGGGGUCUCUGAACCCCUGGUGCCAGCCAGCAAACCCUCCACAGCCUCCCCCUGCAGCAUCCAGGGCAGAAGUUUAAAUUAAUGGGGCAUUUUGGGGCCCCUUUAAGGCACAGAUUGUCCCUGUGUGUGACAUGGACACGCUCUCCCCAAAAUGCUGUGCCUGCAGCAAGGCUGUGCAUGAGCUUUGAGCUGCCCAGGUGAAGCAGAAGCUGCUCCCACCUUUGCUGCCCUCCCAGGCUGGGCUGAGGGGUGGGCACAGCCCCUGGGGCUCACACUGCUCACAGACAGAGCCCAGCAGUGCCCACGUGGGAGGAGGCAGCAGCUCUGUGCAGCCCGGUGCAGCUCUGGGCAGCUCUGUACAGCUCUGUACACCUCUGGUGCAGCUCUGUGCAGCACUGGUGCAGCUCUGUGCAGCCCGGUGCAGCUCUGUGCAGCUCUGUACAGCACUAGUGCAGCUCUGGUGCAGCUCUGUACAGCUCUGGCAGGUGAGCACUGCUGCUGCUGCUCCCCAUGCCCAGGACAUGCCCUGUGCUGCAGGACUGAGCUGUGCCAGGCAGGAAAACUUAGGAGGAUUUUCUCAGGGAUAAGAAAUUAUGUCUCAUGUUGUAACUUUUUGACAACUGUCUCAGUUGCAAGAUUAAUGAUAUCAGUAAUAAAAGAGGUUUUCCUCCACCUAAUCUUUUCAUUUCCCAUUUUAAUUCAAACCUGACCAACAAACUGCCUCCUUAUUCCAGCAGAGAUGAUUUAAAUCACUGGCUUUGCUAAUUACCAUGAUCUCCUUUAAAAGCAUUUCAGGAAUUCCUGACGAAAUUCCAAUUCCUGUUCUGAAAACCUGCUCUGAAAGCAAAUAAAACUUUGAACUGAGACGCCACUGACCUACUUUAGCUUUGAAUUCCAAUCACUCUGGGAGCUGGCUCCAAAGUGCAGCAACCCUGUGACCCCAGGCUCGCUCUGCAGCCCCUGCCCAGCUCCAGCUGUGGGCACAGCUGGGCCUGUGCUGCCAUGGAGGGACAGCUGUGCCCAGCACAGAGCUCAGGACCUGCUCCACCCCCAGCCCAGCGCUGCAGCAGAGCACUCAUCCCAAAUCCCUUCAACACCGCUUGUAAGCAAAGCAAAGGCUCAGGAUUUGCCCUGAAAUCUGGUUUUCCUUUUCCCCCAGUUCCUUUCCCCACCCCAUGAAGUUCCCCGUGCCCUGACCCACAAGGGGACAGCACAGAAUCCCCCAGUACCCCCAGUAUGCCCCUGGAGCAGGAGGGGCUGGGGACAGGGACACAGGGCAGAGCUGGCAGGGCACAGGCUGGCACUGUGCCUGCUUCCCACCAGCACCGUGAUAAAAUUAUCCUUGCAGGGGAACAAUGUUAUUUUUGUCACGUCCCCAUUUUCUAAACAGGAAAAUAUUCCAUUAGGAAAGCGUCCAGCUCCCCUCUGAAAGGUUUUGGCUUUUCCAGGUGGUGGAAAGGAGGGGUCUCUGAACCCCUGGUGCCAGCCAGCAAACCCUCCACAGCCUCCCCCUGCAGCAUCCAGGGCAGAAGUUUAAAUUAAUGGGGCAUUUUGGGGCCCCUUUAAGGCACAGAUUGUCCCUGUGUGUGACAUGGACACGCUCUCCCCAAAAUGCUGUGCCUGCAGCAAGGCUGUGCAUGAGCUUUGAGCUGCCCAGGUGAAGCAGAAGCUGCUCCCACCUUUGCUGCCCUCCCAGGCUGGGCUGAGGGGUGGGCACAGCCCCUGGGGCUCACACUGCUCACAGACAGAGCCCAGCAGUGCCCACGUGGGGAGGAGGCAGCAGCUCUGUGCAGCCCGGUGCAGCUCUGUGCAGCUCUGUACAGCACUGGUGCAGCUCUGGUGCAGCUCUGUACAGCUCUGUGCAGCACUGGUACAGCUCUGUGCAGCUCUGUACAGCUCUGUACAGCUCUGUGCAGCACUGGUGCAGCUCUGUGCAGCACUGGUACAGCUCUGUACAGCUCUGGUGCAGCUCUGUACAGCUCUGUGCAGCACUGGUGCAGCUCUGUGCAGCUCUGUGCAGCACUAGUGCAGCUCUGUGCAGCUCUGUGCAGCACUGGUGCAGUUCUGGUACAGCUCUGUGCAGCUCUGGUGCAGCUCUGUACAGCUCUGUGCAGCACUGGUACAGCUCUGUGUAGCACUGGUGCAGCUCUGUGCAGCUCUGUGCAGCUCUGGUGCAGCUCUGUGCAGCUCUGUACAGCACUGGUGCAGCUCUGGUGCAGCUCUGUAGAUAGCACUGGUGCAGCUCUGGUGCAGCUCUGUGCAGCUCUGUACAGCUCUAUACAGUUUUGUGCAGCCCUGUACAGCACUGGUGCAGCUCUGUGCAGCUCUGGUGCAGCACUGGUAUAGGUCUGGUGCCGCUCUGUGCAGCCCGGUGCAGCUCUGUGCAGCUCUGUACAACUCUGGUGCAGCUCUGUGCAGCUCUGUGCAGCACUAGUGCAGCUCUGUGCAGCUCUGUGCAGCACUGGUGCAGUUCUGGUACAGCUCUGUGCAGCUCUGGUGCAGCUCUGUACAGCUCUGUGCUGCUCUGUGCAGCUCUGGUGCAGCUCUGGUACAGCUCUGUACAGCUCUGGUACAGCUCUGUACAGAUCUGUGCAGCACUGGUGCAGCUCUGUGCAGCUCUGUGCAGCUCAGGGCAGGGCUGUGCCACGUUCAAGGACCCCGGGGCUGAGGCUGGCUCAGUGUUUUGUCCCAAAAUCCCUUCCACAGACCAGGCCAAUGCUGGGCCCUGUGGCUGUGCCUCUGUGCCCUGUCCAGGUCAGCGCAGUGACCAGGUCACCACGGCCCGGCCACGUGGCCAGAGCUCUGCACCCUGUGUCCAUCACGGCCUGGGGGAGGCUCCUCUGGGCUAAAGGAACCAAACCUGCAUUAUUUCAUCCUUUGCAACAGGACAGACCUUUGACGUGCCUUGCUGGGCUUUAGGCUUUCCUUUUUCCAUCCUUGCUCCCUCGGGUGUUUCAGGGUGACACCACCCACAGCAGCUCGUGCCCGAGUGGAUCAGAUGUCCUGGAAGUGUCCUGGUGCUUCCUAUGGGGGUGUUCUGGCAGGAGGGGCAGCUCCCUUUCCCUCCCAGCCCCUUUCAGGGCAGUUCUCCUCCCCGAGCUCCUGCACGCACCCGCGGCGUGGCCAGCGCCUGCCGAGCCCCUGCCCUGGGCCACUGAAACCGGAGCUGGGGCACCUGGAGCCCUCCCCGGGGCUGGCAGCUCUCCCGCAGCUGCCAUUCCCCAGAGCAUGGCCAAGGUUAUCCCCGUGCAGAGCCAGGAGCAGCAGGGCUGCACCUCAGCCUCCUCCAGAGCCGCUCCAAGCAGAUCUCCCUGGGCUGGGGAUCAUCAUGGCAGAUCUCCCUGGGCUGGGGAUCAUCAUAAUCAUCAUCAUCAUCAUCAUCAUCAUCAUCAUCAUCACCAUCAUCAUCAUCACCAUCAUCCCCUGGCUGCCAAACAUCCCAGCCUCCCCUCCCUGCAGGAUUUAGGUUAAGCCACGGCUGCUGACGUGGCUUUGGAAGUUCAGGCAGAGCUCUUCCCCCCGAUGACGUUAAGCUCGUGCAGUUCCCCCAGCCACAAAGCCUGGUUCAAUCAAAGUUGUGAUUAAACCUGACAAUAUCCUUGUGCAGACUCUCCUAAAUAAGAUUUAGAACAGCUAAAAUUAGUGUAAUUUGGUGUUAAUCAUUAAUCGUUUUAUCCACACUUAAUUCAAUUCAAAUGUCCACACAACGAGCUUGCAUAGACUUUGUUGCUGAAAUACAAACCAAAAUUGAAUUAAAUGUUGUUAAAUUAGAUCAACACAAUCUGAGUGCUGCUAUGAGAAGUGUUUGCCGGAGAUGGUUAUCAGCUGAUUGGUUAAUGCUCAAAAUUAUCCUGAGCUGUGUUAGCCAGAAGCUCCAGCUCUCAGUACUUUGGGAAGGCAUGGACAUCUCCAUCAGUAUUUAGUGGACAAAAAUGCCCUUGCCAGCCCUCAG